AAAUUGAAGAGUUUGAUCAUGGCUCAGAUUGAACGCUGGCGGCAGGCCUAACACAUGCAAGUCGAGCGGUAGCACAGAGAGCUUGCUCUCGGGUGACGAGCGGCGGACGGGUGAGUAAUGUCUGGGAAACUGCCUGAUGGAGGGGGAUAACUACUGGAAACGGUAGCUAAUACCGCAUAACGUCGCAAGACCAAAGUGGGGGACCUUCGGGCCUCAUGCCAUCAGAUGUGCCCAGAUGGGAUUAGCUAGUAGGUGGGGUAAUGGCUCACCUAGGCGACGAUCCCUAGCUGGUCUGAGAGGAUGACCAGCCACACUGGAACUGAGACACGGUCCAGACUCCUACGGGAGGCAGCAGUGGGGAAUAUUGCACAAUGGGCGCAAGCCUGAUGCAGCCAUGCCGCGUGUAUGAAGAAGGCCUUCGGGUUGUAAA
Molecule: ribosomal RNA, 430 nt
Filed under: Klebsiella ornithinolytica
Lineage: Bacteria; Pseudomonadati; Pseudomonadota; Gammaproteobacteria; Enterobacterales; Enterobacteriaceae
Description: bacterial SSU rRNA
Rfam family: Bacterial small subunit ribosomal RNA
Source: RNAcentral